RNAcentral lists this ribosomal RNA (253 nucleotides) under uncultured bacterium. RNAcentral's name for it is "partial 16S ribosomal RNA". It matches the Rfam family "Bacterial small subunit ribosomal RNA", at positions 524 to 776 of the family's 1533-position model. The record is from RNAcentral.
UACGGGGGGGGCAAGCGUUGUUCGGAAUUACUGGGCGUAAAGGGCUCGUAGGCGGCCAACUAAGUCGGACGUGAAAUCCCUCGGCUUAACCAGGGAACUGCGUCUGAUACUGGAUGGCUUGAAUCCGGGAGAGGGAUGCGGAAUUCCAGGUGUAGCGGUGAAAUGCGUAGAUAUCUGGAGGAACACCGGUGGCGAAGGCGGCAUCCUGGACCGAUAUUGACGCUGAUGCGCGAAAGCCAGGGGAGCAAACGGG